RNAcentral lists this ribosomal RNA (1480 nucleotides) under uncultured prokaryote. Its description in RNAcentral is "partial 16S ribosomal RNA". It matches the Rfam family "Bacterial small subunit ribosomal RNA". The record is from RNAcentral.
CUGGCGGCGUGGAUAAGACAUGCAAGUCGAACGGGAAACUACAUGAAGCUUGCUUUUGAAAAUUCCUAGUGGCGGACGAGUGAGUAACACGUGGGCAACCUGCCCGGAAGUGAGGGAUAGCCCGAGGAAACUCGGAUUAAUACCUCAUGUGGCCUAUAGGGGCAUCCCUACAAGGCUAAAGGUGGCUUCGGCUGCCGUUUCCGGAUGGGCCCGCGGCCUAUCAGCUUGUUGGUGAGGUAGUGAGGUAACUGCUCACCAAGGCAACGACGGGUAGCUGGUCUGAGAGGAUGAUCAGUCACGCUGGAACUGAGACACGGUCCAGACACCUACGGGUGGCAGCAGUCGAGAAUCAUUCGCAAUGGGCGAAAGCCUGACGGUGCGACGCCGCGUGGAGGAUGACGGCCUUCGGGUUGUAAACUCCUGUCAUCAGUGUGAGCAAACCUUUUCGGUUAACACCUGGAAAGCUGAUAGUAGCAAAAGAGGAAGGGACGGCUAACUCUGUGCCAGCAGCCGCGGUAAUACAGAGGUCCCAAGCGUUGUUCGGAUUUACUGGGCGUAAAGGGUGCGUAGGUGGCAAUGAAAGUCUGAUGUGAAAGCUCUGGGCUCAACCCCGGAACUGCAUCCGAUACUGCCACACUAGAGUAUUGGAGGGGAGUCUGGAAUUCUCGGUGUAGCAGUGAAAUGCGUAGAUAUCGAGAGGAACACUAGUGGCGAAGGCGAGACUCUGGACAAUAACUGAAGCUGAGAGACGAAGGCCAGGGGAGCGAAAAGGAUUAGAUACCCUUGUAGUCCUGGCAGUAAACGGUGGCACGCUUGGUGUGGGAAGGUUCGACCCUUUCCGUGCCGGAGCUAACGCGUUAAGCGUGCCGCCUGGGGAGUACGGUCGCAAGAUUAAAACUCAAAGAAAUUGACGGGGACCCGCACAAGCGGUGGAGCAUGUGGCUUAAUUCGAUGCAACGCGAAGAACCUUACCUAGGCUUGACAUGCUUGUCGUAGUCCCGUGAAAGCGGGAUGUCAGUUCGGCUGGACUUGCACAGGUGCUGCAUGGCUGUCGUCAGCUCGUGUCGUGAGAUGUUGGGUUAAGUCCCGCAACGAGCGCAACCCCUGUGAAUAGUUGCCAGCACGUAAUGGUGGGGACUCUAUUCAGACUGCCCAGAUCAACUGGGAGGAAGGUGGGGACGACGUCAAGUCAGUAUGGCCCUUAUACCCAGGGCUGCACACGUACUACAAUGCCCAGUACAAUGUGAACCGAUACCGCGAGGUGGAGGAAAUCCCAAAAACUGGGCUCAGUUCGGAUUGGAGGCUGCAAUUCGCCUCCAUGAAGUUGGAAUCGCUAGUAAUGGCUCAUCAGCUACGGAGCCGUGAAUACGUUCCCGGGUCUUGUACACACCGCCCGUCACAUCAUGGAAGCUGGUCGCGCCCGAAGUAUCUGUGUAUUCGGCCUAAGGCGAGGCUGGUAACUGGGAUGAAGUCGUAACAA